RNAcentral lists this ribosomal RNA (403 nucleotides) under uncultured bacterium. RNAcentral describes it as "bacterial SSU rRNA". It matches the Rfam family "Bacterial small subunit ribosomal RNA", at positions 355 to 774 of the family's 1533-position model. The record is from RNAcentral.
UAGGGAAUAUUGCAAAAUGGGCGAAAGCCCGAUGCGGCAACGCCGCGUGGGCGAUGAAGGCCUUCGGGUCGUAAAGCCCUUUUUGAGGGGAUGAGGAAGGACAGUACCCUCAGAAUAAGCCUCGGCUAACUACGUGCCAGCAGCCGCGGUAAAACGUAGGAGGCGAGCGUUAUCCGGAUUUACUGGGCGUAAAGCGCGUGCAGGCGGAUUGGAGAGUUGGAUGUGAAAGCUCCCGGCUUAACUGGGAGAGGUCGUUCAAUACUUCCAGUCUUGAGUGCAGUAGAGGGAAGUGGAAUUCCGGGUGUAGUGGUGAAAUGCGUAGAUAUCCGGAGGAACACCAGUGGCGAAAGCGGCUUCCUGGACUGUAACUGACGCUCAGGUGCGAAAGCGUGGGGAGCAAACA